GUGCAAUCGCCCAGCUGCAAUAAAUCUUGAAAGCUCCCUAAACGAAGAAAAAAAGUUGGUUAAGUCCUGUUUCAUCAGGGACUUGUAGACCUAAGAGCACAGAAACUGCUGUUACACCACACUGUAUUUCUGAAGCAACAGCUUAUGGAUCUUCAUGAGGUAUCUUAUGCAUCCUCAUCUUACUAAGGCUUGGACAUUGCACCUAAAAAAAUCAUUUUAGUGACCUGAACACAAAACCUCUUGGUUCUUUCUUAUCAGGCCAAAGUGUUGUACUUGAGUGAGUGAAACUUACCACUGAGCUUUGUGUCAACUACUCUCAAAUCCAAAAGCAGCAGUAAUGCAGUGUGGCUACUUGGAAUUUAUCCUGAGCAUCCUUCUUUCAGGGGGAGAGACCACCUUGCUGAAGGCAACAGCUGGAUCUGCUGCCUGCAGGCGCAGCCUGGAGCUGGGUAACAAGCAGAACUCG
This is a long non-coding RNA of Parus major (Great Tit), 466 nucleotides long. RefSeq lists it as uncharacterized. The record is from RefSeq and is a predicted model, not a curated record. The transcript is spliced from 2 exons. NCBI's taxonomy places the organism in Eukaryota, Metazoa, Chordata, Aves, Passeriformes, Paridae.